AUUUUUCCCUAUUUUCUCUUCUCCUUUUCCCUCAUUUUCUUCCUCUUUCUUCUCUUCUUCUCUCUACCAGACUCGCCGCUGCCGCCGCUCUUCUGCCGCCAAAAAUUGCACACCGGUAGCGGUCUUCAUCCAAACCACCCCAAAAUCUCACCAUACAAUCCCCUCAACAUCUUCUUUCCAAAUCUCCAACCCAAAUCCCUCAAAACUCGCUCAAAAUCCCUGAAUUUUAGAUUUAGGAAACCCUAGCCGCCAUUUUUUUUGCCCAAAUUCUAGAAGCUCCGGUCACCACUACCCUACAACACAUACAUGAAUGGAUAGAGCUCCACGAUACCUACACUUCCCCCAUAAUUUCACCCAUAAAUGCUGCCAUCCACCGUCGUCGGCCGCCUUACUACCGCCGUCGCUCCACCACCAAUCGGUGGCCUCAACUCCUAUAAAAUUUAUACCAUCAUCCUCCUUUUUUCCUCGUAUUUUCUAAAUAUAUAACCCAAAACCACCAUUGUCGUAGCACCCAGCCACCGCGUCUCCAUUUCAGUCCACUUCUUGACUCAAAGACGCCCGUUUCGUUUUCACAAGAAGCCGAAAAUCAUUUGUUUUAGCGUCUGCCCGAAAGAAACGCGCAUUUUCGGGUCGAACAGCCGCUACUUGAAGGUUCUGGUAUCGUUUCGUCACUCGAUUCGGCCUCGAAUGUCCCUAGAAUUGGGUAAACUCAACCCUUAAUCUUUUCCCCAUGUUUCUUUUUUAUUGUUCUUGUUGUUUCCUACUGUUUGAUUUUAGUUUUUAUUAUAGUAUAAAUUUUUUUGUUAUUUUGUUUAUGUUCGUAGUCAUUUUGUGUAAUCAUUUGUUUAUUAGUUUGAUUAACAAUUAUUUGUCUCUUGGUUAUUAGGGCUAUUUAAAAGUUAUAUUGAGUUUCUGUUUAUUCAAGUAUGUUGUUUAGUCAUAGUUGUUAUAAUGAAACAAUUAGUUGGUAUGUGAUAUGUUAAGCUGAUGGUUUCAAUUAGUUAGUCUUGAUAAUAUACUUGUUUUUGUUUGAUUUUUAGUUAUUAGAUUCUGAGUUUCUCUUAGUUGAUUUAUAGUUCAUAUUUCUAAGUCUAGUGAUGUGCUUUUAUAUCUUAGUUUAGUUUGAAUCAAUAGUGUGAUAUUUAUGUUGUUAAAAUCUGAAAAUUAGAUGGGUUUGAUCAUGAUUUAGAGUACUAGUAGCUUACGUUUUCUAGUAGGGUGGCUGAAAUAACUCUUUGCUUCUGUUACAGCAGGUUUUCAGGUUGUCCUUUCACCUUUUGGACAGCCUUUGAAUAGUGUUUAGCACACAAAGUCAGUCCCUUUUUGGAUAUAUUUUUGGUGAACCAAAAUCUGCCUAAAAAAGUGAUUUUCUUUUCCUACUUAAGGGUUGCCCUUUCCUCACUUUAGAUGGACUCUAACACACCUCUGCUAGACAUUUUUAUACACUAAAAAAUACAAUUUUAGGAGUAAAAAUCAACAGCUGAACUUAAAGAAAGUAAGCUAAAAUUGUGAACUUUAUGAGUGCUUCGUAGAGUGAAAACUCUUUCAAAAAGAAUAAGUCUUUUAGAGUUGAUUCUGGGCAUCUUCUCUACGGUUUUGGGGUUGUUUGAUUACGAAUUUGCUGCUGUUUUUGCUCGUUUUCAUUGCUUUUUUUCUUCUAUUUUACUAUUGUUUUUGCUCGUCUCACUGUUGUAUGUUUAUUUUGCGAACCAGGUAAUUCCUACGUCUUUGUAUUGCAGAUUUUUGAUAGUAAUAAGAAGAUUUGAACUUGCCCGGAUAGCUGAAGCAUGUUUUACUUGAUGUUUGUUUAAGAAUAAGUGUUGUACCUAUGUAUAAAAACAUGUAAAUAUGCAGUAGUUAUUGCUUUGAGAAGAUAACUCUCUACUUAUUGUUAUCUUGUUGUUGAAAGUCCAUUUCCCACCU
RNAcentral lists this long non-coding RNA (1923 nucleotides) under Nicotiana tabacum (common tobacco). Its description in RNAcentral is "long non-coding RNA (NTAB_LNC005929)". The record is from RNAcentral. Lineage: Eukaryota; Viridiplantae; Streptophyta; Magnoliopsida; Solanales; Solanaceae.